This is a non-coding RNA of Pseudonaja textilis, 89 nucleotides long. Lineage: Eukaryota; Metazoa; Chordata; Lepidosauria; Squamata; Elapidae. The record is from RefSeq and is a predicted model, not a curated record.
GUGAAAAAUGGUCAUAAGUCACUUUUUCAGUGCUGUUGUAACUUCAAAUGGUUUAAAAUGAACCUUUGUAAAUCGAAGACUACCUGUAU